RNAcentral lists this ribosomal RNA (641 nucleotides) under Campylobacter coli. RNAcentral describes it as "partial 23S ribosomal RNA". It matches the Rfam family "Bacterial large subunit ribosomal RNA", at positions 614 to 1220 of the family's 2925-position model. The record is from RNAcentral. Lineage: Bacteria; Pseudomonadati; Campylobacterota; Epsilonproteobacteria; Campylobacterales; Campylobacteraceae.
AAUGAGCCUGCGAGUUGUGGUGUCUGGCAAGGUUAAGCAAACGCGAAGCCGUAGCGAAAGCGAGUCUGAAUAGGGCGCUUAGUCAGAUGCUGCAGACCCGAAACGAAGUGAUCUAUCCAUGAGCAAGUUGAAGCUAGUGUAAGAACUAGUGGAGGACUGAACCCAUAGGCGUUGAAAAGCCCCGGGAUGACUUGUGGAUAGGGGUGAAAGGCCAAUCAAACUUCGUGAUAGCUGGUUCUCUCCGAAAUAUAUUUAGGUAUAGCGUUGUGUCGUAAUAUAAGGGGGUAGAGCACUGAAUGGGCUAGGGCAUACACCAAUGUACCAAACCCUAUCAAACUCCGAAUACCUUAUAUGUAAUCACAGCAGUCAGGCGGCGAGUGAUAAAAUCCGUCGUCAAGAGGGAAACAACCCAGACUACCAGCUAAGGUCCCUAAAUCUUACUUAAGUGGAAAACGAUGUGAAGUUACUUAAACAACCAGGAGGUUGGCUUAGAAGCAGCCAUCCUUUAAAGAAAGCGUAAUAGCUCACUGGUCUAGUGAUUUUGCGCGGAAAAUAUAACGGGGCUAAAGUAAGUACCGAAGCUGUAGACUUGCGCACAACUUAGAUUAUUUAAGUUUAGAAUAUGAGAAACUAAGUUAUAU